CGUGUAGGCGGGAAAACAAGUCAGAUGUGAAAUACCGAGGCUUAACCUCGGGGCUGCAUCUGAAACUGUAUUUCCUGAGUGUCGGAGAGGAAAGUGGAAUUCCCAGUGUAGCGGUGAAAUGCGUAGAUAUUGGGAGGAACACCAGUGGCGAAGGCGACUUUCUGGACGAUAACUGACGCUGAGGCGCGAAAGCGUGGGGAGCAAACAGGAUUAGAUACCCUGGUAGUCCACGCUGUAAACGAUGGAUACUAGGUGUAGGAGGUAUCGACCCCUUCUGUGCCGGAGUUAACACAAUAAGUAUCCCACCUGGGGAGUACGGCCGCAAGGUUGAA
This 332-nucleotide ribosomal RNA is filed under the name uncultured bacterium. RNAcentral's name for it is "bacterial SSU rRNA". It matches the Rfam family "Bacterial small subunit ribosomal RNA", at positions 568 to 898 of the family's 1533-position model. The record is from RNAcentral.